This 2255-nucleotide ribosomal RNA is filed under the name Staphylococcus aureus subsp. aureus CIG1524. RNAcentral's name for it is "bacterial LSU rRNA". It matches the Rfam family "Bacterial large subunit ribosomal RNA", at positions 667 to 2925 of the family's 2925-position model. The record is from RNAcentral. Lineage: Bacteria; Bacillati; Bacillota; Bacilli; Caryophanales; Staphylococcaceae.
CGUAGCGAAAGCGAGUCUGAAUAGGGCGUUUAGUAUUUGGUCGUAGACCCGAAACCAGGUGAUCUACCCUUGGUCAGGUUGAAGUUCAGGUAACACUGAAUGGAGGACCGAACCGACUUACGUUGAAAAGUGAGCGGAUGAACUGAGGGUAGCGGAGAAAUUCCAAUCGAACCUGGAGAUAGCUGGUUCUCUCCGAAAUAGCUUUAGGGCUAGCCUCAAGUGAUGAUUAUUGGAGGUAGAGCACUGUUUGGACGAGGGGCCCCUCUCGGGUUACCGAAUUCAGACAAACUCCGAAUGCCAAUUAAUUUAACUUGGGAGUCAGAACAUGGGUGAUAAGGUCCGUGUUCGAAAGGGAAACAGCCCAGACCACCAGCUAAGGUCCCAAAAUAUAUGUUAAGUGGAAAAGGAUGUGGCGUUGCCCAGACAACUAGGAUGUUGGCUUAGAAGCAGCCAUCAUUUAAAGAGUGCGUAAUAGCUCACUAGUCGAGUGACACUGCGCCGAAAAUGUACCGGGGCUAAACAUAUUACCGAAGCUGUGGAUUGUCCUUUGGACAAUGGUAGGAGAGCGUUCUAAGGGCGUUGAAGCAUGAUCGUAAGGACAUGUGGAGCGCUUAGAAGUGAGAAUGCCGGUGUGAGUAGCGAAAAGACGGGUUGAGAAUCCCGUCCACCGAUUGACUAAGGUUUCUAGAGGAAGGCUCGUCCGCUCUGGGUUAGUCGGGUCCUAAGCUGAGGCCGACAGGCGUAGGCGAUGGAUAACAGGUUGAUAUUCCUGUACCACCUAUAAUCGUUUUAAUCGAUGGGGGGACGCAGUAGGAUAGGCGAAGCGUGCGAUUGGAUUGCACGUCUAAGCAGUAAGGCUGAGUAUUAGGCAAAUCCGGUACUCGUUAAGGCUGAGCUGUGAUGGGGAGAAGACAUUGUGUCUUCGAGUCGUUGAUUUCACACUGCCGAGAAAAGCCUCUAGAUAGAAAAUAGGUGCCCGUACCGCAAACCGACACAGGUAGUCAAGAUGAGAAUUCUAAGGUGAGCGAGCGAACUCUCGUUAAGGAACUCGGCAAAAUGACCCCGUAACUUCGGGAGAAGGGGUGCUCUUUAGGGUUAACGCCCAGAAGAGCCGCAGUGAAUAGGCCCAAGCGACUGUUUAUCAAAAACACAGGUCUCUGCUAAACCGUAAGGUGAUGUAUAGGGGCUGACGCCUGCCCGGUGCUGGAAGGUUAAGAGGAGUGGUUAGCUUCUGCGAAGCUACGAAUCGAAGCCCCAGUAAACGGCGGCCGUAACUAUAACGGUCCUAAGGUAGCGAAAUUCCUUGUCGGGUAAGUUCCGACCCGCACGAAAGGCGUAACGAUUUGGGCACUGUCUCAACGAGAGACUCGGUGAAAUCAUAGUACCUGUGAAGAUGCAGGUUACCCGCGACAGGACGGAAAGACCCCGUGGAGCUUUACUGUAGCCUGAUAUUGAAAUUCGGCACAGCUUGUACAGGAUAGGUAGGAGCCUUUGAAACGUGAGCGCUAGCUUACGUGGAGGCGCUGGUGGGAUACUACCCUAGCUGUGUUGGCUUUCUAACCCGCACCACUUAUCGUGGUGGGAGACAGUGUCAGGCGGGCAGUUUGACUGGGGCGGUCGCCUCCUAAAAGGUAACGGAGGCGCUCAAAGGUUCCCUCAGAAUGGUUGGAAAUCAUUCAUAGAGUGUAAAGGCAUAAGGGAGCUUGACUGCGAGACCUACAAGUCGAGCAGGGUCGAAAGACGGACUUAGUGAUCCGGUGGUUCCGCAUGGAAGGGCCAUCGCUCAACGGAUAAAAGCUACCCCGGGGAUAACAGGCUUAUCUCCCCAAGAGUUCACAUCGACGGGGAGGUUUGGCACCUCGAUGUCGGCUCAUCGCAUCCUGGGGCUGUAGUCGGUCCCAAGGGUUGGGCUGUUCGCCCAUUAAAGCGGUACGCGAGCUGGGUUCAGAACGUCGUGAGACAGUUCGGUCCCUAUCCGUCGUGGGCGUAGGAAAUUUGAGAGGAGCUGUCCUUAGUACGAGAGGACCGGGAUGGACAUACCUCUGGUGUACCAGUUGUCGUGCCAACGGCAUAGCUGGGUAGCUAUGUGUGGACGGGAUAAGUGCUGAAAGCAUCUAAGCAUGAAGCCCCCCUCAAGAUGAGAUUUCCCAACUUCGGUUAUAAGAUCCCUCAAAGAUGAUGAGGUUAAUAGGUUCGAGGUGGAAGCAUGGUGACAUGUGGAGCUGACGAAUACUAAUCGAUCGAAGACUUAAUCA